Molecule: transfer RNA, 72 nt
Filed under: Laeops kitaharae
Lineage: Eukaryota; Metazoa; Chordata; Actinopteri; Pleuronectiformes; Bothidae
Description: tRNA-Thr
Rfam family: tRNA
About the family: Transfer RNA (tRNA) molecules are approximately 80 nucleotides in length. Their secondary structure includes four short double-helical elements and three loops (D, anti-codon, and T loops). Further hydrogen bonds mediate the characteristic L-shaped molecular structure. tRNAs have two regions of fundamental functional importance: the anti-codon, which is responsible for specific mRNA codon recognition, and the 3' end, to which the tRNAs corresponding amino acid is attached (by aminoacyl-tRNA synthetases). tRNAs cope with the degeneracy of the genetic code in two manners: having more than one tRNA (with a specific anti-codon) for a particular amino acid; and 'wobble' base-pairing, i.e. permitting non-standard base-pairing at the 3rd anti-codon position.
Source: RNAcentral
GCAGCAGUAGCUCAGACUAAGAGCGCCGGCCUUGUAAGCCGGAGGUCGGGGGUUAAAACCCCCCCUCCUGCU